CCACUGCAGUCAAAGCCGCCACCGUAGCACACGCUCGCCCGCUCCUCAGCCACCCGCCCGCUCUCUACUGAGCACCCCCACUAGCCCGGCGAACCCCGCCCUCAGCCCAGGAGGGGCGGGCUAUUCCUAACAGCUCAAGUUUCAAGUACCCUUACUGUUGGAAUCUUUCCUUAGCAUCUGGAGUUGUUUAGUUAACAUAUGUGAGUCUCUCACUCCCUUAUCAACCAACCACCCCUGCCUCAGUGGGCCUGAUUUGGUAUCAGACUUUGGUAAUAUCUAGCUCCCUAGGCUAAGGGGAUCCUAUUCUAGCCUUUAUAUAAGGAGAUGUGCUAUAUUUUGUUGCCCUUUGACCCAUGUUUGUCCAUAUGGGUCUGUCCAGGUGUGGUUUAGAUGUAUUCACAGACAUUUUUAGUGUCAUUGCUGCCCACUCUACCUCCAAGAGAAUCUUUGAUUUCUGCCACGAGGAUGUAGGUGUUUGAGAGCAGAGGAUAGCCAUGCUCCUCUCUUCAGAUAAGGUAUUGGGCUAGAAUUAUAUCUAUUCUCACUCCAUCCCCAAAUAUUACUAGUUUGGAAAAAACCAUUUUUAGGGUCAAGAUAAGUUUUUGUUCAAAGGAACAUCCCAAGCUAUUUAUUUAAGGCUUGGGUCCCCAUCAAAUGUCUGUUUCACAAAAAACACCAUUAGUAAAUAGCACUCACUUAAGGAGCAUCUCUUUAAAUAGUAAAUAAACACAUUUAACCAAGAUGAUAGAAAAAUAGAAAUCAGAGAAGGUAGCCAGAUGAAACUAUAUGAGAUAAUAUUGAGUAAAUGAGUUAUCCUGAUAGGAGUGAGAUCGUUUAACUGAGAGAGAACGCCCAUGAGGAAAUUCCCUGAAGUCCCUGGUAUAGCAAGGUAGGGAUGGAGGCAUGAUGAAGGCUCUGGCUCCUUUACAUGUUGGCUUCUUCUGUCUUCUUUGUUGAAGUUGGAAGACAGAUCAACAUCUUUUUUCUCCCUCAAACUCCGACAAUUCCGCCCCUCGUGCAGGCAUAGAGAAUCAAGCAAUGAGUCUCCACCAGUAAGGGGAAUCCCAUCUGAAAGGACUUUUGGGUCUCAGGUUAUACUUAUAUAAGAUUACCACCUCCUCCCCAAGCUUCUGGAGCCACUAGUUACUUUCUGCCUGAGGAAGUCCUUUUAGUCUGUUUCUUUCUGGUCAAGAAUAUAUGCUGAAUAAACUAGUUUGCUUGACCCA
Non-coding RNA from Monodelphis domestica (gray short-tailed opossum), 1226 nucleotides. The record is from RefSeq and is a predicted model, not a curated record. Lineage: Eukaryota; Metazoa; Chordata; Mammalia; Didelphimorphia; Didelphidae.